AAACAAGGAGGAGGCAGCAGAAU
Molecule: non-coding RNA, 23 nt
Filed under: Cricetulus griseus (Chinese hamster)
Lineage: Eukaryota; Metazoa; Chordata; Mammalia; Rodentia; Cricetidae
Source: RNAcentral